UACGGAGGGGACUAGCGUUGUUCGGAAUUACUGGGCGUAAAGCGCACGUAGGCGGAUUUGUAAGUCAGGGGUGAAAUCCCGGGGCUCAACCUCGGAACUGCCUUUGAUACUGCAAAUCUCGAGUCCGGAAGAGGUGAGUGGAAUUCCUAGUGUAGAGGUGAAAUUCGUAGAUAUUCGCAAGAACACCAGUGGCGAAGGCGGCUUACUGGUCCGGUUCUGACGCUGAGGCGCGAAAGCGUGGGGAGCAAACAGG
This 253-nucleotide ribosomal RNA is filed under the name uncultured bacterium. RNAcentral's name for it is "partial 16S ribosomal RNA". It matches the Rfam family "Bacterial small subunit ribosomal RNA", at positions 524 to 776 of the family's 1533-position model. The record is from RNAcentral.